GAUGAACGCUAGCUACAGGCUUAACACAUGCAAGUCGAGGGGAAACGAUGAGAGAGCUUGCUCUCUUAGUCGUCGACCGGCGCACGGGUGAGUAACGCGUAUCCAACCUGCCUCUGACCAAGGGAUAACCCGUCGAAAGUCGGACUAAUACCUUAUGCAGUCGUCGGAAGUCAUCUGAUGACGACGAAAGAUUUCAUCGGUGAGAGAUGGGGAUGCGUCUGAUUAGCUUGUUGGCGGGGUAACGGCCCACCAAGGCGACGAUCAGUAGGGGUUCUGAGAGGAAGGUCCCGCACAUUGGAACUGAGACACGGUCCAAACUCCGACGGGAGGCAGCAGUGAGGAAUAUUGGUCAAUGGGCGUAAGCCUGAACCAGCCAAGUAGCGUGCAGGAUGACGGCCCUAUGGGUUGUAAACUGCUUUUAUGCGGGGAUAAAGUGAGGGACGUGUCCUUCAUUGCAGGUACCGCAUGAAUAAGGACCGGCUAAUUCC
RNAcentral lists this ribosomal RNA (488 nucleotides) under uncultured bacterium. RNAcentral's name for it is "partial 16S ribosomal RNA". It matches the Rfam family "Bacterial small subunit ribosomal RNA", at positions 28 to 504 of the family's 1533-position model. The record is from RNAcentral.